CAUUAUUGAAAUAACUUGGCUGGGUUGUUGCUGGUCCUUAAGGACAUGUGCACAUCUUGCAUUAAACAAGAACCACUUGUGCACUUUUGUAGACAUGAAGGAAAUACCUAUCAGGGUGAAAAAACCUUGGUUUGAGGAUUCUUCUAGUCUAUGUUACAUUUUUCAAUAUACCCUAAUAAAAAAAUAUAGUACAAUGUUAUUUGACAAGGCCCUAUUGAGCCUUUAAAACAAGUACAACUUUCAACAAUGGAUCUCUUGGCUCUUGCAUCGAUGAAGAACGCAGCGAAAUGCGAUAAGUAAUGUGAAUUGCAGAAUUCAGUGAAUCAUCGAAUCUUUGAACGCACCUUGCGCUCCUUGGUAUUCCGAAGAGCAUGCCUGUUUGAGUGUCAUGAAAUUCUCAACCUUUUCUAGCUAUUUUAUAUAUCUAGUCAAGGAUUGGAUUAUGGGAGGUUGCAGGCUUCUUGACAAGUCAGCUCUUCUUAAAUGUAUUAGCAAAAACCAUUUGCUGGAAUAGUCCUUUUGGUGUUGAUAAAGUUAUCUAUGCCAUUGGGAAGUCAGCUUUUAUUACACAUGGUUUAGCUUUCUAAUGGGGUCUACUUGGACCAAAUUUUGACAACUUAACCU
RNAcentral lists this ribosomal RNA (624 nucleotides) under Entoloma atromadidum. RNAcentral describes it as "eukaryotic LSU rRNA". The stretch from base 236 to 389 matches the Rfam family "5.8S ribosomal RNA". The record is from RNAcentral. Lineage: Eukaryota; Fungi; Basidiomycota; Agaricomycetes; Agaricales; Entolomataceae.